AUGUUUCUCUGCCGCAAAAUGUGCAGCUUCUAGCAAUAGCGCUGAAUCCAAACUCAUUAUUGAAAGAUAUCUGGUUAUAUAUAACUUUUACUGGUGGAACAUUUAUCAGCCAAUUGCUUGUGUGGAUACUAAUUUACGAAGUAGCCAAGACCAUGAAACUGUUUAAAGUGCUUAAAAAAGAUCUCGACGAGAACCACAACAACAGACAAACUAUGAAUUCGAUGUCCUAUAGGUUAUUUAUCUAGUUGUCUAUUAGUACCAUAGAUAAGUAUAGAAACAGAACAAUUACUUUACAUAUGUUGUAUAAGGCUCACGAAUAUUUCACUCAAUUAAAUGACCAUUGACUUUUCCUGUCAUCUCUUCCUUGUUAGACUCUAACCGGACGUGUCCUUUUACCUGUCCGGAAGAAACAAGCUUUGCAGCAACUAAGCUUCCGCAUCGGUUAGGCGAAAGGCGUACCAGUUGAGCUCCUGGAACGAUAAUAUUGACGAUCGAGCAAGCUACCUUGAUCAGCCGGCUGCGCGUAUACAUGCAUUAUGUUCUAUUAAGGUUAGAUUAACGGUUCUGUUGCAAUUCAUGUGCAUUUAGUCCAAGUAUUGGUUGCUGGAAAUUAAAAGCCAGUUAGCAAGUGUUGAGCCUGAUGUUAUCGCUUGUUCGCUCGAUCAUGGGAUGCUUUAGCUAUGUUAUAGCUAGACUUGCUAAGUGAAUGUCGUGAACAUUAUAGCUGGACCAGUUAUUAACGUUAGGUACUUAGCUAAGUUAACUAGAUACAUUUGUUUUUUGGAGUGUUCGCUGCAGGCCCUUUGAAAUGGCUUAGUUUGCAACGUUAUGCCAUGAUAUGCCAGUCAUAAGCCUGUGGUAAAUACGUUAGGAGCUUUAGAUACUAUAUGUGAGUCUCGGAGGCUGGAAUAUAUUAAUUUGUUGCUCGUUUUUAUAAAGUUUAUAACGAUUGGGUCACAGUGGCGAUAUUUGACAGCACGGAAUAUUACAAUAAGAGGGGGGCUUGUGUCAAUCAGCUGAUACCGUACGCUGCGCUGUUGCCCAUCUGCCCCCAUGGCACACAACAGAAGAGAUGCCCCCGAGCUGCCUGACUUUUCUCUUCUCAAGAGACUGGCAAAGGACCAGCUUAUCUAUCUCCUGGAACAGCUGCCUGGGAGGAAGGAUCUGUUUAUUGAAGCAGAUUUAAUGAGUCCCCUGGAUCGCAUUGCUAAUGUCACAACUCUCAAGCAACACGAAGUGGACAAACUGUAUAAAGUGGAAAACAAACCAAUUGUCAGCACUUGUGAUCAACUGUGCUUUCUGAUUCGACCCCGAAUACAAACUGUGAAGUGGGUCGCUGAUAUUGUCAAUGCAGACAAGGCAGCUGGAAAAUUCAGGAGAUACAAGAUCAUAUUUAGUCCCCAGAAGUUCUUUGCAUGUGAGACGAUACUGGAGGAGCAGGGUGUCUAUGGUGAUGUGAGCACUGACGAAUGGGCUUUCUACCUUCUGCCUCUGGAUGAUGACAUCAUUAGCCUUGAGCUUCCUGAAUUCUUCAGAGAUACUUUUCUGGAGGGUGACCAACGCUGGGUGACUACAGCAGGCAGUGCACUUCACCUCCUGCAUUCUCUCUAUGGUCCUUUCUCAAAGGUUUAUGGGAUUGGCCGCUCUGCUAAGAUGACACAUGGACUGCUGAAGGAGCUAGUGGAGGAGGGUGAACAGAGAGCUCAAAAACCUGACAUUGGGACCGUCUUUCUCAUUGAUCGAGAUGUUGAUUUUGUCACUCCAGUCUGCUCUCAAGUUGUUUAUGAAGGCCUGGUGGAUGAUAUUUUCAGGAUUAAAUGUGGAAGUGUGGAGUUUGGUCCUGAUGUCACGUCCUCUGACAAGAGUAUGAAGGUGAUGCUGAACUCUCAAGAUAAGGUUUUCAAUGAGAUCAGGAAUGAGCAUUUCUCCAAUGUCUUUAGCUUCUUAAGUCAGAAGGCCAGGAACCUGCAGACUGCAUAUGAUAAGCGGAAAGGGAUGGACAUCAAGCAGAUGAAAACCUUUGUCUCGGAAGAGCUGAAAGGGUUAAAACAAGAGCACCGCCUGCUCAGUAUGCAUAUUGGUGCAAGUGAGUCAAUGAUGAAGAAGAAAACAAAACAAGACUUUCAGGAGCUUUUAAAGACAGAACACUCUUUGCUGGAGGGUUUUGAAAUUCGAGAGUGCAUUGCCUACAUAGAGGAGCACAUAAACAGACAGGUCUCCAUGAUUGAUAGUCUUCGACUUCUCUGCUUGUUGUCUCUCACAGAAAAUGGACUUCUUCCAAAAGAUUAUCGGUCACUAAAAGCACAGUACCUUCAGAGUUAUGGUAUUGAGCAUCUACUGACAUUUGCCAACCUGCGACAGCUGGGACUGCUAGUGGAGCAGCAGCCCGGGGAGACACUCACUGUCAUGGAAAGCAAAGUGGGCAAACUGGUCAAUGACAAGACUGCAGGAAAGCUGACUGAUGCUUUUUCAUCUCUGGCAAAGAAAAGCAAUUUCCGCGCACUGAGCAAGAGGCUUGCUCUCGUCCCAAAGUCUGGGGAGGAGUAUGACCUCCGUAUCCCGCGAGACAUGGCCUACAUCUUCAGUGGAGCUUAUAUCCCCCUCAGCUGCAGACUGAUAGAACAGGUCUUAGAGCGGGAUGGCUGGACAGGGUUGGAGGAAGUUACACGCAUGCUCAAUGGGCAUGAGUUUGCAGUGACAGGUGGGGGCGCUAAAGCACCUGGGUGGGCAACAGUGGAAGUGAGAGCAGGCUGAAGACUGAAGCCCAACGCAUUAUCCUUGUGAUGUUCCUUGGAGGCUGCAGCUAUUCUGAAAUCUCAGCACUACGUUUUCUUGGCAAAGAAAGGGGCUGUAAAUUCAUUGUGGUAACAACCGCCAUUUUAAACAGUGCCAGAAUGCUGGAGGCUAUGUUGGACAGCCAAGUGUGAAACCUGUGUUCCUGAAAGGCCAGGUGCAAGACUGUCUUCCAUCACCAAGCUGAAGAACCACACAAAUCAAGACAUGGGAAAAGUCUGAUUGUCCAAUGGAAGAGUAUAUUGAGAUGAAAUUCUGUGGUUUAGUAGACAUGAACUCUGAUAUAUUAGCCCCAGAAAUGUAUAUGCUUUCAAUAAAAUUUCUUUUGGAGCA
Conger conger (European conger) is the source of this 3126-nucleotide RNA transcript. It is a transcript of the gene named VPS33B late endosome and lysosome associated, with no coding region annotated. The transcript has 23 exons. Lineage: Eukaryota; Metazoa; Chordata; Actinopteri; Anguilliformes; Congridae. The record is from RefSeq and is a predicted model, not a curated record.